This 45-nucleotide non-coding RNA is filed under the name Schistosoma mattheei. Lineage: Eukaryota; Metazoa; Platyhelminthes; Trematoda; Strigeidida; Schistosomatidae. The record is from RNAcentral.
AUCUAGCUGAUGAGUCUUAAAUAAAACGAAAUUCGCGUCCUAGAU